UGAGAAUCAGGCUCCUGAGGCUUGAAUACGCUGGAGCAAAGGCUGAAGAGGCCAUAGAACAAUAGAUUUAAGUAGAUAUAGAAGGGAGCCAUCAAUAUCUGACCUUGAUUCUUCAAAUAUCAAACAUACAUGAGUAAUGGGGGUGAGUAUAAGGUUAUCAGGGCCGGAGGAGCAACGAUUUUCGGUGAGCUUGAGGUAGGAGAGGGUGAGAG
This 212-nucleotide long non-coding RNA is filed under the name Nicotiana benthamiana. RNAcentral describes it as "long non-coding RNA (NBEN_LNC020944)". Lineage: Eukaryota; Viridiplantae; Streptophyta; Magnoliopsida; Solanales; Solanaceae. The record is from RNAcentral.